This 258-nucleotide ribosomal RNA is filed under the name uncultured bacterium. Its description in RNAcentral is "partial 16S ribosomal RNA". It matches the Rfam family "Bacterial small subunit ribosomal RNA", at positions 551 to 793 of the family's 1533-position model. The record is from RNAcentral.
UUACUGGGCGUAAAGACGCAUGCAGGUGGUUUGUUUAAGUUACAGAUGUGAAAGACCCGGGGCGUCAACCUCCGGAAUAAGCAUUUGUAAACUAGGCAGACUAGAGUACUGUAGAGGGGGGUAGGAAGUUUCUAGGUGUAGCGGUGAAAUAGCGUAGAGAUCUGAAGGAAUACCGGUGGCGAAGGCGGCCCCCUCGGACAGAUACUGACACUCAGAUGCGAAAGCGUGGGGAGCAAACAGGAUUAGAUACCCUGGUAG